GUAGUUAGCCGGAGCUUCCUCCUUGGGUACCGUCAUUUGUUUCGUCCCCAAGGACAGAGGUUUACAAUCCGAAAACCUUCUUCCCUCACGCGGCGUUGCUGGGUCAGGGUUUCCCCCAUUGCCCAAUAUUCCCCACUGCUGCCUCCCGUAGGAGUUUGGACCGUGUCUCAGUUCCAAUGUGGCCGAUCACCCUCUCAGGUCGGCUACCCAUCGUAGGUUUGGUGGGCCGUUACCUCACCAACUGCCUAAUGGGACGCGAGCUCAUCCAUAAGCGAUAAAUCUUUGACCUCUUUGCCAUGCGACAUUGUGGUCUUAUGCGGUAUUAGCAGCCGUUUCCAGCUGUUGUCCCCCUCUUAUGGGCAGAUUGCUCACGCGUUACUCACCCGUCCGCCACUCAGUCAUUUGAUCUUCCACCCGAAAGCUUCCGUUCAAAUGCUUCGUUCGACUUGCAUGUGUUAAGCACGCCGCCAGCGUUCGUCCUGAGCCAGGAUCAAACUCUGA
RNAcentral lists this ribosomal RNA (501 nucleotides) under uncultured bacterium. RNAcentral describes it as "partial 16S ribosomal RNA". The record is from RNAcentral.